CCCCUAGUAACGGCGAGUGAAGAGGGAGAAGCCCAGCACCGAAGCCUGCGGUAGUUUUACCGCUAGGCAAUGUGGUGUUUGGGUCGGCUGGCGGGACUGCCACUCCAUUCGAAGUCCAGCAUUGAGUAUGGUACCCUGGAUUUGGCCCAUAGAGGGUGAAAGGCCCGUGCGAAUGGAUGUUUCAGACAUGAAAGGCAGUUCAUCAGGUCGACCUUCGAGUCGGGUUGUUUGAGAAUGCAGCCCAAAGCGGGUGGUAAACUCCAUCCAAGGCUAAAUACUAACACGAGUCCGAUAGCGAACAAGUACCGUGAGGGAAAGUUGAAAAGCACUCUGAAGAGAGAGUAAACAGUACGUGAAACCGUAUAAAGGUAAACGGGUGGCGUCAAGCUGCAAGCCUAGAGGAUUCAGCUGGUCAUCAUUUUGUGUAUACGUCCUGUGUAUGUCAGUCGGUAAUAGGCGAGUAGUCCACUGGGUAACGGUGGGCCCGACCGCAAGGUUGGGAUGUAUGUGCCACACGGUUGGUGGUGUACGCUGCUCAACUAUUGGACUGGAUGGCUAGUGCACUUCCUCUAUUAAGGUGAACACCACGACCGGUGGAACUGCCAGUCUGGUAUGGUCAAGUUGUGUGCAAUUGUGCUUUCGGGUGCAUUGGAUGCAAUCACAGGCAAAUUCGGUGGACGGUGGGCUUGCUCAUGUUAUCGGCCAUCGGUUGUCAACGGGUGUGUUCGUCAGUAUGGUUGCAGUACCUGACGGAUGAUCUGGUGGACUAUACUGGUAAGAAUAACUGUGCAGGGCACCGGAGUUAUCGGUCUCUAAUUACCGGCUGAUGCAUGCACUGCAAGUGUGUGUGGGGAUGCUAUUGCGGCCUGUCGUUGGCUAGGUGUGAUUGUCGUGUCGUCUGCGAAAAGCAGUCCCGGCAGUGGCUUGGCUACGGUUGGUGCAUGUAGUGGUAUUUCUUUGUCAGUCGGUGUGGGCCGUAUAGUCUGUGGUGUAGUGGUAGAUUAGCUACCCGACCCGUCUUGAAACACGGACCAAGGAGUUCAACAUGCACGCGAGUCAAUGGGCACUUCCGAAACCCAAAGGCGCAGUGAAAGUGAAGCUGCACGUUGUCUUCGGACAGCGGGUAGCGUGGUGAGAUCCUGCUGUUACUCGCAUCUGCACUUCUGUGUAAUUGUCUGUGUUGGCACAGGGCGCAAAGAGCGGUAGGCGCAUCACCGGCCCGUCUCAUGAUGUGGUCAUUGGUGUAACCAUUCCAGUGCGUCAUCGUGGCGGAGCAUGAGCGUGCAUGUUGAGACCCGAAAGAUGGUGAACUAUGCUUGCGUAGGUUGAAGCCAGAGGAAACUCUGGUGGAAGGCCGCAGCGAUUCUGACGUGCAAAUCGAUCGUCAAACGUGAGUAUAGGGGCGAAAGACUAAU
This 1415-nucleotide ribosomal RNA is filed under the name Rhinoptericola megacantha. RNAcentral's name for it is "partial large subunit ribosomal RNA". It matches the Rfam family "Eukaryotic large subunit ribosomal RNA", at positions 77 to 935 of the family's 3401-position model. The record is from RNAcentral. Lineage: Eukaryota; Metazoa; Platyhelminthes; Cestoda; Trypanorhyncha; Rhinoptericolidae.